Molecule: ribosomal RNA, 484 nt
Filed under: uncultured bacterium
Lineage: Bacteria
Description: partial 16S ribosomal RNA
Rfam family: Bacterial small subunit ribosomal RNA
Source: RNAcentral
AUUGAACGCUGGCGGCAGGCCUAACACAUGCAAGUCGAGCGGAUGAAGGGAGCUUGCUCCUGGAUUCAGCGGCGGACGGGUGAGUAAUGCCUAGGAAUCUGCCUGGUAGUGGGGGAUAACGUCCGGAAACGGGCGCUAAUACCGCAUACGUCCUGAGGGAGAAAGUGGGGGAUCUUCGGACCUCACGCUAUCAGAUGAGCCUAGGUCGGAUUAGCUAGUUGGUGGGGUAAAGGCCUACCAAGGCGACGAUCCGUGACUGGUCUGAGAGGAUGAUCAGUCACACUGGAACUGAGACACGGUCCAGACUCCUACGGGAGGCAGCAGUGGGGAAUAUUGGACAAUGGGCGAAAGCCUGAUCCAGCCAUGCCGCGUGUGUGAAGAAGGUCUUCGGAUUGUAAAGCACUUUAAGUUGGGAGGAAGGGCAGUAAGUUAAUACCUUGCUGUUUUGACGGUACCAACAGAAUAAGCACCGGCUAACUUCGUG